UUCGUCGAUGUCUGGAUCAAUCCUCUUUCUCUUCUCUUCUUUUCUAUUUUAUCUCCUUCUUUUCGGAAAUCAUAGAGAAAGUAGAAAUUAGGGUUUCAAUCUCUAUUUUAUGACAAAUAUGAAUCAAUGGUGGUUGAUGGAUUUCGGAGAAAUUAGGGUUGGAUUUCGGUGAAAAGGGUAUUGGUUCCUCUUUAAUUCAAGAUGUAAGAGAGGGGUGUUGUGAUCGAUAGAUUCUGAUGCUAUGAAGAACAUAGGAUUAGAAUUCAGAUUUCUGCUGAUGAUUCAUGGCGAGAAAGAGAUGAAGAACUGAAUAUUGAAUAGGGUUUCUAGAAGAUGGAUCUAUGCUCGAUUUGUGAGAAGAAGAAUUGGCAAUUUAUGUUUGCAAUUGGGUCAUUCUCAGAUUUCGUGGGAGAAAAUCAGGCAAUGAGAUCGCAGGUGUGGCUACCUUUCUUUGACAGUGCUUAUCAGGUUAUGACAACAAGACAAAUGGUUUCGUUUGAGUGUCACGGUACCAAUUACAUCUUCACAGUUAAUCAGGCUGCGGUAGAGGGGGGAGAGAAAUCGAACUACCUCGAGAGAGGGAUGAUACCAAGUGAAACGUAUUUUUUCUUUGAAGCAUCCAAUGCGAGUAGUAUCAAGGUCGUGUUUCAUUUCCCUCAUAACAUGCGAGUGGUAUGCAGAUUAUUAACCAACGUGAAGACGCCAGCAGCAACAUUAUCCGGCAUAAGGAGUUCAAUCUCCCGUCACUAGGUAUACGUGGUCUGAUAUCUUCCAAAGAGCAUUUGCUUCCCGUGUUUUUCCUGCCCAUGUGACCAAUAAGAAAUCUCCGCUUAGACGAAAUUAGUCUUUUCUUAUUUAACUGGUUAUAUGGGCCUCUCGAUACUGGAAAGACCCUUAUGGCUCGUCAAAUUGGUCAAAUAUUAAAUGGAAAGAACCCAAAGAUUGUGAACGGUCCUGAAGUGUUAAGCAAAUUUGUCGGAGAGACUGAGAAGAACGUUAGGGAUUUAUUUUUUGAUGCUGAGAAUGAUCAAAGGACUCUAGGGGAUCAAAGUGAGCUGCAUGUUAUCAUAUUUGAUGAGAUCGAUGUUAUCUGUAAGGUCAAUGAUGGUCGAUUAAGGACAAGUGGUGAGGCUUCUCCAAGGAGUACUAAGAAAGAUUGGGUAUAGUGGAUGAGGCAUUUUGUUAUUGAGCUUCUUAAAGAAUCCCAAUCUCCAUCUUUUUUUCCUUGCCUUGUGCGGGGCUUGCGCAAUUACAGACUUUGUGAGUUGCUUGGCUCAGUUGACGAUAAAUUUUUAUGAGAAGCUUCUAGUACCUGGUCUCAAAGUGGAUGGGUGAAAAUGAGAAUCGAUUCUUUAAGUGGCCAGCGCGGGGAAGGAAAUGAGAAUGAAGCUUCUCGACGGAUCAAAACGGAACUUCUUGUACAAAUGCAGGAUUGCCUACAUCUAGUUUUCUGAUGCCCAAGCUUCCAACAAAAGCAAAGCCUGCAAAGGAUAUAAAGCUUAGUUGCGGUUAUUGAAUAAUGUUCUAUUUCAUCAAAAAGGGUGGAGAACAAAGCAGCUAAGAUUUGGAUUUGGAGGGGGCAGGGUUUAAGUUUAUAUACGUGUUAGAAAAAUAAAGGGACCGCAUACUUUGAGUAUGCAUCCCGACCACAUUGUACCCGGCACCUUAGAGAAAUUUCAGUUCUUCUGUAAUUUAUAUGUGGUCAGUUCUUUUGUAAUAUAAAUCUAAUAUGAAUUGAAUGAAUGUGAUAUGAAUAGAUUAAAAAAAUUGUUGUUGAG
This is a long non-coding RNA of Papaver somniferum (opium poppy), 1778 nucleotides long. RefSeq lists it as uncharacterized. The transcript has 11 exons. The record is from RefSeq and is a predicted model, not a curated record. NCBI's taxonomy places the organism in Eukaryota, Viridiplantae, Streptophyta, Magnoliopsida, Ranunculales, Papaveraceae.